Hyaena hyaena (striped hyena) is the source of this 309-nucleotide long non-coding RNA. RefSeq lists it as uncharacterized. The record is from RefSeq and is a predicted model, not a curated record. NCBI's taxonomy places the organism in Eukaryota, Metazoa, Chordata, Mammalia, Carnivora, Hyaenidae. The transcript has 3 exons.
CUUGAACUCACACCUCUCACUGAUGACAUCAUGACCUGAGCUGAAGUCAGGAGCUUAGCUGACUAAGUCACACAGGAUUUCAAAAACACAUGACAAAGCAACCACGUUGCAGCAGCUCUCCCCAUCCAGGAAGGGCCCGUGUAAGCUUCUGCUCCGUGAGCUUCACGGGAAAUCAAAAUGCAGGCAUUUGAGUCAGACUGCUCUGGUUCCAAGCACAGCACCAGCACUUAGUCACUGCAGGACCUCAGGGUAUGGAAAUGGAGACAAGAGAGUCCAAGCCAAUUUUAUCUCAGUCCUUCAGAGGAGGAG